This is an RNA transcript of Chinchilla lanigera (long-tailed chinchilla), 1317 nucleotides long. It is a transcript of the gene named transmembrane protein 218, with no coding region annotated. The transcript is spliced from 6 exons. Lineage: Eukaryota; Metazoa; Chordata; Mammalia; Rodentia; Chinchillidae. The record is from RefSeq and is a predicted model, not a curated record.
GUGAUUCGCCGUAAGUAGACCACGGCCCGGGUGACUAGAACAGAAUGGAGCGAGAGGGCUGGGCAUUUUCUUCCUUGUGUGAAUAAGCACUCAGGCAACACUGUGAAAAUUCCUGUCCUGGGAUUGCCUGGAUGGCUGGCGCGGUGCUGGGAGUGGGUGCCGGCGUGUUCAUCCUAGCCCUGCUCUGGGUGUUGGUGCUGCUGCUGUGUGUGCUGCUAUCCAGAGCCUCCGGGGUAGCUAGGUUCUCUGUCAUUUUUGUAUUCCUCGCUGCUCUGGUCAUCACGGCAGUUCUGUUGCUCUUUCCCCGAGCCAGUGAAUUUCCAGCCCCAGGAGUGGAAAUGAAGAUUGUGGAUACCUUUUUCAUUGGCCGCUACAUCCUGCUGGCUGUCCUCAGCGCUGUCUUCCUUGGAAGCCUCUUCUUGCUUCUAACACAUCAUGUCCUGGAGCCCGUCUAUGCCAAACCCCUGCGGUCCUACUAAGCAUUAUUGGGGAAACAGAGGCCCUUGGCCUCCUGUCUUUCAUGUGGACGCCAUGGAUGCACAGAAAGUCACUCGUCAGAGCCUUGUUCUUACAGCCUUCAUGUCUUAAGGUGUCUUUCCUUCCUAAGUGGGUGCAAAAGGCCUGUAUGUCACCAGGAAUCAAAAGGAUCCAAUCAAAGGCGUGGAGCUCACCGUAGCAUCCCAUGUGAGUCCGUAUCAGAAGGCUGACAGGUCUCCCCUGGAAGGCUGAAGGGCCGAUUCUAGAGGCUGGAGUCUGCGCUGAAAGCCAAGAAACGACGUCCAAGGUGAAAGCGAAGACUGGAGCUUCUCCGAAGGAACAGAAGCAAUCCCUCCUUCUUCUUUUCCCUCUUAUACACUCUGGCAAUAAUCCUCCCUAGGGUGGGUCUUCCACACCCAGAACUACACUGAGCCAAUUUAGUUGGGUGUUGUAUAUUCAAAUUGACACAGUCAACCAAGCAUCAGACCUACUAAGCUCUGUAGAACUUUGAUUGAGAGCUUGAGGGAGAUUAAGACUACCUCUUGCUUUCUGUCCUGGACCCUGUCGUCAGGGUAGAGAGGUCCCCAGUCCUGCCUCCCCUGAGGGGCUCAGCCCUAAAUGACAGGAGGCAAGAGCUGGUGACAAGAGUCUUGGGUUGGUGAGGGUCAGGUGGAGUUGUACCUCCACUUAAACUGACUCCUUUACCCGCUUAGUUUGGGAAAACUUUGCAGAGAAUGCUUCAUGCAGAAAGUCUUAAAGGAAAUCAUUUUCUUCCCAGCUUUUUAAAAAAUUUUUUAUCUUUUUAAUUUUUUUUAUUAGUACAUAUUUGCCAUACAUAAC